AUGUCCUCAGGGCACAAAAGAAAUAAGACGCGUUAGAAAAACGUCCCUGAUUAUCGGCAUUGAAAAGUAGGAAUUCAGCUCUGGCCAGUGCAGAGCUAGCCUUUUCAGCGCUGUCGGCAAAGUCAGAGGAGAAAUUGCAGCGCUGAAAACAGAAACAUGAACACUAGAAAAUCAAAGUAUCCGCACAAGCAACCAAAACUUAGGAAAACACAAAACAAAAACGGAAAGCAGAAAAACAAGAAAAACAAAAACUAAAAACAAACCAACAGUGGGUUGCCUCCCACCAAGCGCUAGUUUUAAAGUCGCCAGCCCGACUUCAGCGCUAAUCUUCAGCCUGGAUCACGCAGAGCUUGAGAUUCCAUCGCCAUCGGCGAGCUCUGCUCAUAGGACGGCCUCACGUUAUGGCCGUUCAAUCUAAAAUUCUCC
This 426-nucleotide long non-coding RNA is filed under the name Salvia miltiorrhiza (redroot sage). RNAcentral's name for it is "long non-coding RNA (SMIL_LNC009271)". The record is from RNAcentral. Lineage: Eukaryota; Viridiplantae; Streptophyta; Magnoliopsida; Lamiales; Lamiaceae.